ACGGGAGGCAGCAGUGGGGAAUAUUGGACAAUGGGGGAAACCCUGAUCCAGCGACGCCGCGUGAGUGAAGAAGUAUUUCGGUAUGUAAAGCUCUAUCAGCAGGGAAGAUAAUGACGGUACCUGACUAAGAAGCCCCGGCUAACUACGUGCCAGCAGCCGCGGUAAUACGUAGGGGGCAAGCGUUGUCCGGAAUUACUGGGCGUAAAGGGCGCGUAGGCGGCAUAAUAAGUUAGAUGUGAAAUUCCCGGGCUUAACCCAGGCGUUGCAUUUAAAACUGUUAAGCUUGAGUGCCGGAGAGGAAAGCGGAAUUCCUAGUGUAGCGGUGAAAUGCGUAGAUAUUAGGAGGAACAUCAGUGGCGAAGGCGGCUUUCUGGACGGUAACUGACGCUGAGGCGCGAAAGCGUGGGUAGCAAACAGGAUUAGAUACCCUGGUA
Molecule: ribosomal RNA, 434 nt
Filed under: uncultured Oscillospiraceae bacterium
Lineage: Bacteria; Bacillati; Bacillota; Clostridia; Eubacteriales; Oscillospiraceae
Description: partial 16S ribosomal RNA
Rfam family: Bacterial small subunit ribosomal RNA
Source: RNAcentral